GGAGGAAUAUGGUCAAUGGUCGGCAGACUGAACCAGCCAAGUCGCGUGAGGGAAGACGGCCCUACGGGUUGUAAACCUCUUUUGUCGGAGAGUAAAGUACGCUACGUGUAGCGUAUUGCAAGUAUCCGAAGAAAAAGCAUCGGCUAACUCCGUGCCAGCAGCCGCGGUAAUACGGAGGAUGCGAGCGUUAUCCGGAUUUAUUGGGUUUAAAGGGUGCGUAGGCGGCACGCCAAGUCAGCGGUGAAAUUUCCGGGCUCAACCCGGAGUGUGCCGUUGAAACUGGUGAGCUAGAGUACACAAGAGGCAGGCGGAAUGCGUGGUGUAGCGGUGAAAUGCAUAGAUAUCACGCAGAACCCCGAUUGCGAAGGCAGCCUGCUAGGGUGAAACAGACGCUGAGGCACGAAAGCGUGGGUAUCGAACAGGAUUAGAUACCCUGGUAGUCCACGCAGUAAACGAUGAAUACUAACUGUUUGCGAUACAAUGUAAGCGGUACAACGAAAGCGUUAAGUAUUCCACCUGGGGAGUACGCCGGCAACGGUGAAACUCAAAGGAUUGACCGGGGGCCCGCACGAACGGAGGAACAUGUGGUUUAAUUCGAUGAUACGCGAGGAACCUUACCCGGGCUCAAACGCAGGGGGAAUAUAUAUGAAAGUAUAUAGCUAGUAAUAGUCACCUGCGAGGUGCUGCAUGGUGUCGUCAGC
This 701-nucleotide ribosomal RNA is filed under the name uncultured bacterium. Its description in RNAcentral is "bacterial SSU rRNA". It matches the Rfam family "Bacterial small subunit ribosomal RNA", at positions 355 to 1059 of the family's 1533-position model. The record is from RNAcentral.